CAUGCAAGUCGAGGGGCAGCAUGUUGGUUGCUUGCAACCAACGAUGGCGACCGGCGCACGGGUGAGUAACGCGUAUCCAACCUACCCUUGUCCAUCGGAUAACCCGUCGAAAGGCGGCCUAACACGAUAUGCGGUUCACGGCAGGCAUCUAAGGUGAACGAAAUGUGAAGGAGAAGGAUGGGGAUGCGUCUGAUUAGCUUGUUGGCGGGGUAACGGCCCACCAAGGCUACGAUCAGUAGGGGUUCUGAGAGGAAGGUCCCCCACAUUGGAACUGAGACACGGUCCAAACUCCUACGGGAGGCAGCAGUGAGGAAUAUUGGUCAAUGGGCGAGAGCCUGAACCAGCCAAGUAGCGUGCAGGAUGACGGCCCUAUGGGUUGUAAACUGCUUUUAUAGGGGGAUAAAGUGUGCCACGUGUGGCAUAUUGCAGGUACCCUAUGAAUAAGGACCGGCUAAUUCCGUGCCAGCAGCCGCGGUAAUACGGAAGGUCCGGGCGUUAUCCGGAUUUAUUGGGUUUAAAGGGAGCGUAGGCCGUUUGGUAAGCGUGUUGUGAAAUGUCGGGGCUCAACCUGGGCAUUGCAGCGCGAACUGCCAGACUUGAGUGCGCAGGAAGUAGGCGGAAUUCGUCGUGUAGCGGUGAAAUGCUUAGAUAUGACGAAGAACUCCGAUUGCGAAGGCAGCCUGCUGUAGCGCAACUGACGCUGAAGCUCGAAAGCGUGGGUAUCGAACAGGAUUAGAUACCCUGGUAGUCCACGCGGUAAACGAUGGAUGCUCGCUGUUUGCGUCUGACGUAAGCGGCCAAGUGAAAGCGUUAAGCAUCCCACCUGGGGAGUACGCCGGCAACGGUGAAA
This 850-nucleotide ribosomal RNA is filed under the name uncultured bacterium. Its description in RNAcentral is "bacterial SSU rRNA". It matches the Rfam family "Bacterial small subunit ribosomal RNA", at positions 54 to 899 of the family's 1533-position model. The record is from RNAcentral.